RNAcentral lists this ribosomal RNA (479 nucleotides) under uncultured bacterium. RNAcentral describes it as "partial 16S ribosomal RNA". It matches the Rfam family "Bacterial small subunit ribosomal RNA", at positions 28 to 507 of the family's 1533-position model. The record is from RNAcentral.
GAUGAACGCUAGCGGGAGGCCUAACACAUGCCAGCCGAGCGGUAUUGUUUCUUCGGCAAUGAGAGAGCGGCGUACGGGUGCGUAACACGUGUGCAACCUGCCUUUAUCUGGGGGAUAGCCUUUCGAAAGGAAGAUUAAUACUCCAUAAUAUAUUGAACGGCAUCGUUUAAUAUUGAAAGCUCCGGCGGAUAGAGAUGGGCACGCGCAAGAUUAGCUAGUUGGUGAGGUAACGGCUCACCAAGGCGAUGAUCUUUAGGGGGCCUGAGAGGGUGAUCCCCCACACUGGUACUGAGACACGGACCAGACUCCUACGGGAGGCAGCAGUGAGGAAUAUUGGUCAAUGGGUGCAAGCCUGAACCAGCCAUCCCGCGUGAAGGACGACUGCCCUAUGGGUUGUAAACUUCUUUUGUAUAGGGAUAAACCUACCCUCGAGAGGGUAGCUGAAGGUACUAUACGAAUAAGCACCGGCUAACUCCGUG